Molecule: non-coding RNA, 665 nt
Organism: Sphaeramia orbicularis (orbiculate cardinalfish)
Lineage: Eukaryota; Metazoa; Chordata; Actinopteri; Kurtiformes; Apogonidae
Source: the annotation of a RefSeq genome assembly
GUUGGAGCUCACAGUUCCUCUGCACUGCCCAUAUGACAGCUCUGUUUCUCUGGGUGUUGUUGGCUGCUCUGUGCCUUGAAUGCAGAGGCCAAAACGACAACGUGAUGCAACCACAAGGAGAUGUGACGGCUGCUGAAGGAGAGGCAGUAACUCUGGGCUGUCGAUACAACAGCAGUUCUCCCACUAAUUCUCUGUACUGGUACAAACAGGAAGGAAACAGUCGGCCCACAUUCAUCCUGAACCAACUCACACUGGACCAAGGAACCACAGCAGAGACGUUCAAGGAAAGAUUCACAUCCACACUGGAUCAAACAUCAAGAUCAGCUCCUCUGAAGAUCCAGAAGCUUCAUGUGUCAGACUCUGCUGUGUACUACUGUGCUCUGCAGCCCACAGUGACAGGGACUGAGUGUGUCAGCCUGGGUAAUGCAGAGUCCUCAACAGCCCUGGUCACCUGUGGUGUCCCUCAGGAGUCUGUCCUGGUCCCACUCCUCUUCAUCCUAUACAUGCUGCCACUCAGCCGUGUCAUCAACCGUCAUGGCUUCUGCUUUCAUUGUUACGCUGAUGACACACAACUGAACCUAAGAGCUCACCUCAACCCCUCCUCUACCUCACCAUCAUCAUCAUCACCCCUUCCUCCACUCACCAUCCUCACUACCUCUUGGUGA